CAAAUUUGUGUGUGUGUAAACAUUUGUUUGUUGCUCCUACAAUUCUAGUAUUUAUUUCUGACCUCUCCUGCCAACUUGGUUGAGUUAAAUUCAAAACUGCCAGAUGAAAGAAUGCAAAAACGGGAGCAUUUGUUUGUCUAUGAUAAUGGUUUCUAUGGUUCUGGUACUGUGUGCCCUUAUUUCUUAUGGGAUUCGUCGGUGCAUAUCGAAAGAGAAAAAACGGUUCUCGGAAGUUGCAGUAACUGUUGGACUCAAAAGUUGAUGAAGCUUUUGAAGAACAAGAUUCCAGUGGCAGUGCAAAAAUGAAUUUUAACUAUCCUAGUAAAUUUAUUAAAAAUUUGGGCAAUGUAGUCACAUUUGGAACUUCUGUUUUAUCUAGAUUUUGAUCUAGUUAUUAUUAAUUAAGUUAUAUCCCCUU
Erigeron canadensis is the source of this 418-nucleotide long non-coding RNA. RefSeq lists it as uncharacterized. The transcript is spliced from 2 exons. Lineage: Eukaryota; Viridiplantae; Streptophyta; Magnoliopsida; Asterales; Asteraceae. The record is from RefSeq and is a predicted model, not a curated record.